This 481-nucleotide ribosomal RNA is filed under the name Microascus trigonosporus. RNAcentral's name for it is "eukaryotic LSU rRNA". It matches the Rfam family "Eukaryotic large subunit ribosomal RNA", at positions 50 to 535 of the family's 3401-position model. Lineage: Eukaryota; Fungi; Ascomycota; Sordariomycetes; Microascales; Microascaceae. The record is from RNAcentral.
GCGGAGGAAAAGAAACCAACAGGGAUUGCCCCAGUAACGGCGAGUGAAGCGGCAACAGCUCAAAUUUGAAAUCUGGUCCCCCCGCGGGGCCCGAGUUGUAAUUUGAAGAGGAUGCUUCUGGCAAGGUGCCGUCCGAGUUCCCUGGAACGGGACGCCGCAGAGGGUGAGAGCCCCGUACGGUCGGACGCCGAGCCUCUGUGAAGCUCCUUCGACGAGUCGAGUAGUUUGGGAAUGCUGCUCAAAAUGGGAGGUAAACCCCUUCUAAAGCUAAAUACCGGCCAGAGACCGAUAGCGCACAAGUAGAGUGAUCGAAAGAUGAAAAGCACUUUGAAAAGAGAGUUAAAAAGCACGUGAAAUUGUUGAAAGGGAAGCGCUUGCGACCAGACUCGCGCCCGUCGGAUCAGCCGUCGCUCGUCGGCGGCGCACUCCGGCGGGCUCGGGCCAGCAUCAGUUCGCCUCGGGGGGAGAAAGGCGGCAGGAA